AACUUUCAAUAGAAGAGAUUGUGCUGGAAAAUGCGUGGAAAGUCUGCUGUAUAGAUCGGCAUAGAAAUAAUUUGGCCCAAGGGCGCUUGCGGUAAUUGCCUGCCCUCCAGCAUUUUGCAGAUGAAAACUGGGACACAUUCAGCCAAGCAAUAUCAGAGUGUGCUCAAGAUGGCAAAAGUUAGUAAUAAGGCUCCACAGCAUUCCAUCCCAGGUUUUGACUCCCUUAGUUUAAUGUUGGCAUUGCAAAAAAAAAAAAAAAAUGGCAGCAGUAAACGUUUUCUGAAUGCCACCCAUUUACACAAAGCUGUUAGCAACAACGGGCAGUGUUUACAGCAGACUCUAUAGAAAAUGGUACAAAAAGGAAAAUCGGCCACUUUAGCAAGCCUUUCAAAUGCUGAUUUGUUAUCAGUAAAUGUUUGAUUUUUUUAUACCUAUUCUAUUCACUUAUAUCCCUGGGGUCAAGUAAACAUUUUUUGGGCAGAAAAGGGUCACAAAAAUAUUUUUCAGGAGGAAAGAAUGACAAGUGGGAAAAGUUGAAGAAAAAGCUCUAGGGAACUCUCCCUCCUCCUUUAUUCUGUGUGGUACACAUUCAUAUUUCAUCAUAUUAAACACAGAGCUCCAUUUGUAUAUUGUUUAAUAUGGAGAUGUACAAAUGUGAAACUACUCCAGGGAACUUUGGAAAAGACGAAGGUCUGAAAGUAUAUUUAAGACUGUAAAACAUUCCCCGCACUAACAAUAAUGGCAUCUUAAUUCACCAGUGUAUCAACCAACAGGACGCUAUUUCAAGCAAUAAACUGGGCAUCUAUUAUGCCGAAUGGCUCUGAAAUGACUUUGCCAAAUGCAUCAAAGCAUCCCUAGUUGGAGACGAAGUUUGCAAAUCUAAUAGAAAUGCUGUGGGAUUGCAGUGCAGUUCAGCAUGGAAAAUAAGUCCCUACCCAAAGGACGCACUGCUCCUUGAAUUUAUUCACUGAUGCGGUCUGUUAUUUUUCUGUUAAAUAAAAGUUAUCUAAACAGACAUUUGCAACAAGAGUGGGUGGUAUCCAGAAGCAGCGAGGACACAUUGUUCCCUGACUUGUAACCAACUCCAUUGGAGAUGGGCAACUGCUAGAUUUGGAGAACCCCCUUGGUCCUCCAUGGUACAUCAUUAUUGUUACUUCCACAUGCAGUUUGACAUGGUUUAACUGCCAUGGCUCAAUGAUACAGAAUAUAAUGCAUUUACACUGCAUUAUAUAGUAGUGUAGAUGAGCCCUUAGUUUGAAUAAAACUGGAGACCUGCCUCAACUCCUUAGUCAAAACUGGAUUUACCUGAGCUUUCAAGGAAAGACAACAUUUCACCCAUUCCCAUGCUCAACCUAUCAGCUAAGUAUAAACCCAUUUGACACUUUUGGAUUAGAUUAGCAGCAACUGAAGUAAGCUGAAAAUAAGGGGGGAAAUUGGAAGGAUGGAAUAGAAACCAAGACAUUUCAAAGCAGUUGAAAACUGGGACUGUGCUUGCAAAAUUAGGACACUUGAAAGGUGUGAUAUGCUUCACGGGCGAUCUCUCCCUGUACCCAGAAC
Anolis carolinensis (green anole) is the source of this 1557-nucleotide long non-coding RNA. Lineage: Eukaryota; Metazoa; Chordata; Lepidosauria; Squamata; Anolidae. The record is from Ensembl.